CCUACGGGAGGCAGCAGUAGGGAAUUUUGCGCAAUGGGCGAAAGCCUGACGCAGCAACGCCGCGUGAUCGAGACGCCCUUCGGGGUGGAAAGAUCUGUCAGUGGGGACGAAAGUUGACGGUAACCACAGAGGAAGCACCGGCUAACUCCGGGCCAGCAGCCGCGGUAAUACGGGGGGUGCAAGCGUUGUCCAGAAUCAUAGGGGUGAAAGAGUUCUUAGGCGGCACGUAAAGUCUGGUGUUAAAGGCAGAGUCACAACUUCUUUACUGCACUGGUUACUUGCGAGCUAGAAUGAGGUAGAGGUAAAGGGAAUUCCAGGUGUAGCGGUGACAUGCUUAGAUAUCAGGAGGAACAUCGGUGGCGUAAGCGCUUUACUGGGCCGUAAUUGACGCUGAGGAACGAAAGCCAGGGUAGCAAAUGGGAUUAGAUACCCUGGUAGUC
This 440-nucleotide ribosomal RNA is filed under the name uncultured bacterium. RNAcentral describes it as "partial 16S ribosomal RNA". It matches the Rfam family "Bacterial small subunit ribosomal RNA", at positions 338 to 795 of the family's 1533-position model. The record is from RNAcentral.